AUUGAACGCUGGUGGCAGGCCUAAUACAUGCAAGUCGAGCGGAUGAAGGGAGCUUGCUCCUCGCUUCAGCUGCGGACGGGUGGGUGAGGCCUAGGAAUCUGCCUGGUAGAUGGGGCUAACGUAACGACACGAGCGCUAAUAUCGCAUAGGUCAUGAGGGUGAAAGGGGGGGUUCUUCGGAGCUAGCGCUAUCAGAUGACCCUAAGUGGGAUUAGCUAGUUGGUUAGGUAAAGGCGUACCAAGGCGACGAUCCGUAGCUGACCUGAGAGGGUGAUCAGCCACACUGGAACUGAGACACGGCCCAGACUCCUACGGGAGGCAGCAGUAGGGAAUAUUGGGCAAUGGGCGAAAGCCUGAUCCAGCAAUGCCGCGUGUGUGAAGAAGGUCUUCGGAUCGUAAAACUCUUUUAGUAGGGAAGAACAGCAGUGAGAGAAAAUCUGGCUGUCUUGACGUUACCAAAACAGAAAGCACCGGCUAACUACGUA
Molecule: ribosomal RNA, 484 nt
Filed under: uncultured bacterium
Lineage: Bacteria
Description: partial 16S ribosomal RNA
Rfam family: Bacterial small subunit ribosomal RNA
Source: RNAcentral